GACGAACGCUGGCGGCGUGCUUAACACAUGCAAGUCGAACGGAAAGGCCCUGCUUUUGUGGGGUGCUCGAGUGGCGAACGGGUGAGUAACACGUGAGUAACCUGCCCUUGACUUUGGGAUAACUUCAGGAAACUGGGGCUAAUACCGGAUAGGAGCUCCUGCUGCAUGGUGGGGGUUGGAAAGUUUCGGCGGUUGGGGAUGGACUCGCGGCUUAUCAGCUUGUUGGUGGGGUAGUGGCUUACCAAGGCUUUGACGGGUAGCCGGCCUGAGAGGGUGACCGGCCACAUUGGGACUGAGAUACGGCCCAGACCCCUCCGCUAGGCAGCAGUGGGGAAUAUUGCACAAUGGGCUGAAGCCUGAUGCAGCACCGCCGCGUGCGGGAUGACGGCCUUCGGGUUGUAUACCGCUUUCGCCUGUGACGAAGCGUGAGUGACGGUACUGGGUAAAGAAGCACCGGCUAACUACGUG
Molecule: ribosomal RNA, 468 nt
Filed under: uncultured bacterium
Lineage: Bacteria
Description: partial 16S ribosomal RNA
Rfam family: Bacterial small subunit ribosomal RNA
Source: RNAcentral